GUCCGUUCAAGGACAUUCAAUAAAAUUGAAAUGAUACAAAGAACACUAGCAUGACUGCUCCGCAAGGAUGACAUGCACAAAUUGAGAAUCGAAAGAAUCAUAG
Capsicum annuum is the source of this 103-nucleotide non-coding RNA. The record is from Rfam. Lineage: Eukaryota; Viridiplantae; Streptophyta; Magnoliopsida; Solanales; Solanaceae.